This 370-nucleotide ribosomal RNA is filed under the name uncultured bacterium. RNAcentral's name for it is "partial 16S ribosomal RNA". It matches the Rfam family "Bacterial small subunit ribosomal RNA", at positions 523 to 890 of the family's 1533-position model. The record is from RNAcentral.
AUACGUAGGGUGCGAGCGUUGUCCGGAAUUACUGGGCGUAAAGAGCUCGUAGGUGGUUUGUCGCGUCGUCUGUGAAAUUCCGGGGCUUAACUCCGGGCGUGCAGGCGAUACGGGCAUAACUUGAGUACUGUAGGGGAGACUGGAAUUCCUGGUGUAGCGGUGAAAUGCGCAGAUAUCAGGAGGAACACCGGUGGCGAAGGCGGGUCUCUGGGCAGUAACUGACGCUGAGGAGCGAAAGCAUGGGUAGCGAACAGGAUUAGAUACCCUGGUAGUCCAUGCCGUAAACGGUGGGCGCUAGGUGUAGGGGUCUUCCACGACUUCUGUGCCGUAGCUAACGCAUUAAGCGCCCCGCCUGGGGAGUACGGCCGCA